RNAcentral lists this ribosomal RNA (464 nucleotides) under uncultured bacterium. RNAcentral describes it as "partial 16S ribosomal RNA". It matches the Rfam family "Bacterial small subunit ribosomal RNA", at positions 28 to 507 of the family's 1533-position model. The record is from RNAcentral.
GACGAACGCUGGCGGCGUGCUUAACACAUGCAAGUCGAACGGUAAGGCCCCAGCUUGCUGGGGUACACGAGUGGCGAACGGGUGAGUAACACGUGGGUGACCUGCCCCGCACUUCGGGAUAAGCCUGGGAAACUGGGUCUAGUACCGGAUAGGACCGCACCGUGAGGGUGUGGUGGAAAGUUUUUCGGUGUGGGAUGGGCCCGCGGCCUAUCAGCUUGUUGGUGGGGUAAUGGCCUACCAAGGCGGCGACGGGUAGCCGGCCUGAGAGGGUGGACGGCCACAUUGGGACUGAGACACGGCCCAGACUCCUACGGGAGGCAGCAGUGGGGAAUAUUGCACAAUGGGCGGAAGCCUGAUGCAGCGACGCCGCGUGGGGGAUGACGGCCUUCGGGUUGUAAACUCCUUUCACCAUCGACGAAGGUUUUCUGACGGUAGAUGGAGAAGAAGCACCGGCUAACUACGUG